UAGUUAUUGUAGGCCCGUCAGCCUAUCUAAGCGUCGAAUCUGAUGAAGAACCGUAAUGGUGAGAAGUUGGAGAAUACGCGAUGGGGCGAGCGUAAGCUCGCUUAUGAUAAUCCCCGGUCCCCGUGAAAGCAAUGUAGUUACAAUCUUAUUGUUCGUACCAAGAACCGACACAGGUGUCCCUAGGUGAGUAGCCUAAGGCGUGUUAGCAUAAUCGUGGCGAGGGAACUCGGCAAAUUAGCCCUGUAACUUCGGGAGAAGGGGUGCCAGUACUGUGAGGUACUGGUCGCAGUGACAAGAGAACACCGACUGUUUAAUAAAAACAUAGGUCUCUGCUAGUUCGAAAGGAUGUGUAUAGAGGCCGAAGCCUGCCCAGUGUCGGCAUCUGAAAAUCUGUUUCAACGGAUCGAAGGACCGAUAAACGGCGGGGGUAACUAUGACCCUCUUAAGGUAGCGUAAUACCUUGUCGCUUAAUUGGCGACUUGCAUGAAGGCUCAACGAGUGUUCUACUGUCCCCGCCAUGACGCUAGUGAAAACAAUCAGUCUGGUGCACAAUCCAGACCCCUCCAUCUGAAAGCGAAGACCCCAUGGAGUUUCACUGCAACCUGUUGUUGUUGUAGGAAAUGGUAUGUGUAGGGUAGGCGGGAGACGUUACCCAGGAAGGUGCGCUAGCAUCUCUCCGAGUCACCGAUGAAACACCGCCCUUAUCAUUUCUUACGACUCACCUCUCCGGAGGAACAGCUAUAGGCAGGCAGUUCGGGUGGGGCGCCACGCCCUCAAAAAGAUAACAAGGGCGCCCAAAGGUUAGCUCAGGUAGGUCAGAAAUCUACCGAAGAAUGUAAAGGUAAAAGCUAGCUUGACUCGGAACCAGACAAUAGGGUUCGGAGAUAGGAAACUAUGGCUUAACGAACCAAUCAACCUCCUGAAUGGGGGUGAUUGAUAUCAGAAAAAUUACCCUGGGGAUAAUUGAGUUGUCACGAGCAAGAGUUCAUAUCGACCUCGUGGCUUGCUACUUCGCUGUCGGCUCUCCCUAUCCUGGUGGUGCAGCAGCUGCCAAGGGUGGGGUUGUUCGCCCAUUAAAAGGGAUCGUGAGCUGGGUUUAAAACGUCGCGAGACAGUUUUGUUGCUUUUUGAUGGAGGUGUUGGUACCUGAUGAGAAGGACCCUUUAGUACGAGAGGAACAGGGGUUCGUGGCCUCUAGUUUAUCAGUUGUCUGACAAGGCAUGCUGAGUAGCCACGCCGCAGCGGAUAAGAGCUGAAAGCAUCUAAGCUCGAAGCCGCCUUAAAAAAGAGGUACCCAUAUAACGCUCAUAAAUGAUGAGUUUGAUAGAAGCCGGAUGUAAGUAUCGAGGUUCGCCGAGAUAUUCAGUCCUGGCUUACUAAAGUUAUUUUGACGUC
This 1395-nucleotide ribosomal RNA is filed under the name bovine gut metagenome. Its description in RNAcentral is "bacterial LSU rRNA". It matches the Rfam family "Archaeal large subunit ribosomal RNA", at positions 1583 to 2987 of the family's 2987-position model. The record is from RNAcentral.